This 301-nucleotide ribosomal RNA is filed under the name uncultured bacterium. Its description in RNAcentral is "partial 16S ribosomal RNA". It matches the Rfam family "Bacterial small subunit ribosomal RNA", at positions 509 to 809 of the family's 1533-position model. The record is from RNAcentral.
CAGCCGCCGCGGUAAUGCGGAGGGAGCUAGCGUUGUUCGGAAUUACUGGACGUAAAGCGCACGUAGGCGGCUUUGUAAGUCAGAGGUGAAAGCCUGGAGCUCAACUCCAGAACUGCCUUUGAGACUGCAUCGCUUGAAUCCAGGAGAGGUGAGUGGAAUUCCGAGUGUAGAGGUGAAAUUCGUAGAUAUUCGGAAGAACACCAGUGGCGAAGGCGGCUCACUGGACUGGUAUUGACGCUGAGGUGCGAAAGCGUGGGGAGCAAACAGGAUUAGAUACCCCCGUAGUCCCUGUCUCUUAUAA